This 492-nucleotide ribosomal RNA is filed under the name uncultured bacterium. Its description in RNAcentral is "partial 16S ribosomal RNA". It matches the Rfam family "Bacterial small subunit ribosomal RNA", at positions 29 to 507 of the family's 1533-position model. The record is from RNAcentral.
AGUGAACGCUGGCGGUAGGCCUAACACAUGCAAGUCGAACGGCAGCACAGUAAGAGCUUGCUCUUACGGGUGGCGAGUGGCGGACGGGUGAGGAAUACAUCGGAAUCUACUUUUUCGUGGGGGAUAACGUAGGGAAACUUACGCUAAUACCGCAUACGACCUACGGGUGAAAGCAGGGGAUCUUCGUACCUUGCGCGAUUGAAUGAGCCGAUGUCGGAUUAGCUAGUUGGCGGGGUAAAGGCCCACCAAGGCGACGAUCCGUAGCUGGUCUGAGAGGAUGAUCAGCCACACUGGAACUGAGACACGGUCCAGACUCCUACGGGAGGCAGCAGUGGGGAAUAUUGGACAAUGGGCGCAAGCCUGAUCCAGCCAUACCGCGUGGGUGAAGAAGGCCUUCGGGUUGUAAAGCCCUUUUGUUGGGAAAGAAAAGCAGCAGGUUAAUACCCCACUGUUCUGACGGUACCCAAAGAAUAAGCACCGGCUAACUUCGUG